Molecule: ribosomal RNA, 301 nt
Filed under: uncultured bacterium
Lineage: Bacteria
Description: partial 16S ribosomal RNA
Rfam family: Archaeal small subunit ribosomal RNA
Source: RNAcentral
CAGCCGCCACGGUAACACCAGCACCUCGAGUGGUCAGGAGGUUUAUUGGGCCUAAAGCAUCCGUAGCCGGUUGUUUAAGUUUUCGGUUAAAUCUAUGCGCUUAACGUAUAGGCUGCCGAAAAUACUGGACAGCUAGGGAGUGGGAGAGGUACACGGUACUCAAUAGGAAGGGGUAAAAUCCUUUGAUCUGUUGAUGACCACCUGUGGCGAAGGCGGUGUACCAGAACACGUUCGACGGUGAGGGAUGAAAGCUGGGGGAGCAAACCGGAUUAGAUACCCCCGUAGUCCCUGUCUCUUAUAC